Molecule: ribosomal RNA, 845 nt
Filed under: uncultured bacterium
Lineage: Bacteria
Description: bacterial SSU rRNA
Rfam family: Bacterial small subunit ribosomal RNA
Source: RNAcentral
AUGAACGCUAGCGGCAGGCUUAAUACAUGCAAGUCGUACGGGAUCCGAGGUAGCAAUACUUUGGUGAGAGUGGCGCACGGGUGCGUAACACGUAUGCAACCUACCUAUAACCGGGACACAACCCACCGAAAGGUGAGCUAAUAUCCCAUAACACUGCGAGAUGGCAUCAUUUUGCAGUUAAAACUCCGGUGGUUACAGAUGGGCAUGCGCGACAUUAGCUAGUUGGUGAGGUAACGGCCCACCAAGGCUACGAUGUCUAGGGGUUCUGAGAGGAUUAUCCCCCACACUGGUACUGAGACACGGACCAGACUCCUACGGGAGGCAGCAGUAAGGAAUAUUGGUCAAUGGGCGCAAGCCUGAACCAGCCAUGCCGCGUGAAGGAUGACGGCCCUAUGGGUUGUAAACUUCUUUUGUACGGGAAAAAACCACAGGUCGAGUAUCUGUGCUGAUGGUACCGUAAGAAUAAGCAUCGGCUAACUCCGUGCCAGCAGCCGCGGUAAUACGGAGGAUGCAAGCGUUAUCCGGAUUCAUUGGGUUUAAAGGGUGCGCAGGCGGAAUAAUAAGUCAGUGGUGAAAUCCUACAGCUUAACUGUAGAACUGCCAUUGAUACUGUCAUUCUUGAGUAUUGUUGAGGUAGGCGGAAUGUGUCAUGUAGCGGUGAAAUGCUUAGAUAUGACACAGAACACCGAUCGCGAAGGCAGCUUACCAAGCAAUAACUGACGCUCAUGCACGAAAGCGUGGGGAUCAAACAGGAUUAGAUACCCUGGUAGUCCACGCCGUAAACGAUGAUCACUCGAUGUUGGCGAUACACAGUCAGCGUCUUAGGGAAACUAUAAGUGAUCCAC